AUGACCCCGUGUGUGUUUCCCAAUUGGUCAUCCAAACCAUCAUUUCUUUCUUCCAUCCCGGAACGGAGAUCUGACCCAAGGAAGGAAUUGCCUUCUUUCUCAUGCCAACCAGAUGGAUGCGGCCCAGAGCUGAGUGAAUGUAUCCUAAUUUGUGGCCUAAUUCUUCUUCUUCUGAUCGAUUCAACCUCUGAUAAAAAAGAUAGACCUUGGUUCUAUUUCAUCUCUGCAACAAGUUUAGUAAUAAGCAUAACGGCCCUAUUGUUCCGAUGGAGAGAAUAA
This 279-nucleotide ribosomal RNA is filed under the name Triticum aestivum (bread wheat). RNAcentral describes it as "partial small subunit ribosomal RNA". The record is from RNAcentral. Lineage: Eukaryota; Viridiplantae; Streptophyta; Magnoliopsida; Poales; Poaceae.